This 71-nucleotide transfer RNA is filed under the name Candidatus Vogelbacteria bacterium. RNAcentral's name for it is "tRNA-Gly". It matches the Rfam family "tRNA". Rfam says of the family: Transfer RNA (tRNA) molecules are approximately 80 nucleotides in length. Their secondary structure includes four short double-helical elements and three loops (D, anti-codon, and T loops). The record is from RNAcentral. Lineage: Bacteria; Candidatus Vogeliibacteriota.
GCGAGUGUGGUUCAAUGGUAGAAUAACUGCCUUCCAAGCAGUAGACAUGGGUCCGAUCCCCAUCACUCGCA